CAUGCAGUCGAGCGGGCCCUUCGGGGUCAGCGGCAGACGGGUGAGUAACACGUGGGAACGUACCCUUUGGUUCGGAAUAACGCUGGGAAACUAGCGCUAAUACCGGAUACGCCCUUUUGGGGAAAGGCUUGCUGCCGAAGGAUCGGCCCGCGUCUGAUUAGCUAGUUGGUGGGGUAAURGCCUACCAAGGCGACGAUCAGUAGCUGGUCUGAGAGGAUGAUCAGCCACACUGGGACUGAGACACGGCCCAGACUCCUACGGGAGGCAGCAGUGGGGAAUAUUGGACAAUGGGCGCAAGCCUGAUCCAGCCAUGCCGCGUGAGUGAUGAAGGCCUUAGGGUUGUAAAGCUCUUUUGUCCGGGACGAUAAUGACGGUACCGGAAGAAUAAGCCCCGGCUAACUUCGUGCCAGCAGCCGCGGUAAUACGAAGGGGGCUAGCGUUGCUCGGAAUCACUGGGCGUAAAGGGCGCGUAGGCGGCCAUUCAAGUCGGGGGUGAAAGCCUGUGGCUCAACCACAGAAUUGCCUUCGAUACUGUUUGGCUUGAGUUUGGUAGAGGUU
RNAcentral lists this ribosomal RNA (558 nucleotides) under Methylobacterium sp. UPUM01. RNAcentral's name for it is "bacterial SSU rRNA". It matches the Rfam family "Bacterial small subunit ribosomal RNA", at positions 54 to 659 of the family's 1533-position model. The record is from RNAcentral. Lineage: Bacteria; Pseudomonadati; Pseudomonadota; Alphaproteobacteria; Hyphomicrobiales; Methylobacteriaceae.